ACGAUGGAUGCCCGUUGUCAGGCUGUUUCAGCCUGGUGACCAAGCGAAAGCAUUAAGCAUCCCACCUGGGGAGUACGCCGGCAACGGUGAAACUCAAAGGAAUUGACGGGGGCCCGCACAAGCGGAGGAACAUGUGGUUUAAUUCGAUGAUACGCGAGGAACCUUACCCGGGCUUGAAUUGCAGACGAAGGCUUCAGAGAUGAAGCUGCCUUUCGGGGCGUCUGUGAAGGUGCUGCAUGGCUGUCGUCAG
RNAcentral lists this ribosomal RNA (250 nucleotides) under uncultured bacterium. RNAcentral's name for it is "partial 16S ribosomal RNA". It matches the Rfam family "Bacterial small subunit ribosomal RNA", at positions 806 to 1058 of the family's 1533-position model. The record is from RNAcentral.